Molecule: ribosomal RNA, 259 nt
Filed under: uncultured bacterium
Lineage: Bacteria
Description: partial 16S ribosomal RNA
Rfam family: Bacterial small subunit ribosomal RNA
Source: RNAcentral
CGAAGUCGCAAACUCGCGAGAGUAAGCUAAUCUCUUAAAGCCGUUCUCAGUUCGGACUGUAGGCUGCAACUCGCCUACACGAAGUCGGAAUCGCUAGUAAUCGCGGAUCAGCAUGCCGCGGUGAAUACGUUCCCGGGUCUUGUACACACCGCCCGUCACACCAUGGGAGUCGGAUAUGCCCGAAGCCGGUGACCUAACCGCAAGGAAGGAGCCGUCGAAGGUGGAGCCGAUGACUGGGGUGAAGUCGUAACAAGGUAGC